This 471-nucleotide ribosomal RNA is filed under the name uncultured organism. RNAcentral's name for it is "partial 16S ribosomal RNA". It matches the Rfam family "Bacterial small subunit ribosomal RNA", at positions 334 to 797 of the family's 1533-position model. The record is from RNAcentral.
CACUCCUGCGGGAGGCAGCAGUGGGGAAUUUUGGACAAUGGGCGAAAGCCUGAUCCAGCAAUGCCGCGUGAGUGAAGAAGGCCUUCGGGUUGUAAAGCUCUUUUGUCAGGGAAGAAACGGUGAAAGCUAAUAUCUUUUGCUAAUGACGGUACCUGAAGAAUAAGCACCGGCUAACUACGUGCCAGCAGCCGCGGUAAUACGUAGGGUGCAAGCGUUAAUCGGAAUUACUGGGCGUAAAGCGUGCGCAGGCGGUUGUGUAAGUCAGAUGUGAAAUCCCCGGGCUCAACCUGGGAAUUGCAUUUGAGACUGCACGGCUAGAGUGUGUCAGAGGGGGGUAGAAUUCCACGUGUAGCAGUGAAAUGCGUAGAUAUGUGGAGGAAUACCGAUGGCGAAGGCAGCCCCCUGGGAUAACACUGACGCUCAUGCACGAAAGCGUGGGGAGCAAACAGGAUUAGAAACCCCUGUAGUCCC